Molecule: ribosomal RNA, 388 nt
Filed under: uncultured Enterobacteriaceae bacterium
Lineage: Bacteria; Pseudomonadati; Pseudomonadota; Gammaproteobacteria; Enterobacterales; Enterobacteriaceae
Description: bacterial SSU rRNA
Rfam family: Bacterial small subunit ribosomal RNA
Source: RNAcentral
UUUGCUAGAGAUAGCUUAGUGCCUUCGGGGACGUCUGAGACAGGUGCUGCAUGGCUGUCGUCAGCUCGUGUUGUGAAAUGUUGGGUUAAGUCCCGCAACGAGCGCAACCCUUAUCCUUUGUUGCCAGCGAGUAAUGUCGGGAACUCAAAGGAGACUGCCGGUGAUAAACCGGAGGAAGGUGGGGAUGACGUCAAGUCAUCAUGGCCCUUACGAGUAGGGCUACACACGUGCUACAAUGGCAUAUACAAAGAGAAGCGAACUCGCGAGAGCAAGCGGACCUCAUAAAGUAUGUCGUAGUCCGGAUUGGAGUCUGCAACUCGACUCCAUGAAGUCGGAAUCGCUAGUAAUCGUAGAUCAGAAUGCUACGGUGAAUACGUUCCCGGGCCUU